GAUGAAGAACGUAGCGAAAUGCGAUAAGUAAUGCGAAUUGCAGAAUCCAGUGAAUCAUCGAAUCUUUGAACGCACAUUGCGCCCGCCAGCAUUCUGGCGGGCAUGCCUGUUCGAGCGUCAUUUCAACCCUCGACCUCCCCUUGGGGAGGUCGGCGUUGGGGACCGGCAGCACACCGCCGGCCCUGAAAUGGAGUGGCGGCCCGUCUGCGGCGACCUCUGCGUAGUAAUACAGCUCGCACCGGAACCCCGACGCGGCCACGCCGUAAAACACCCAACUUCUGAACGUUGACCUCGAAUCAGGUAGGACUACCCGCUGAACUUAAGCAUAUCAAUAAGCGGAGGA
RNAcentral lists this unclassified non-coding RNA (343 nucleotides) under soil metagenome. Its description in RNAcentral is "partial contains 5.8S ribosomal RNA, internal transcribed spacer 2, and large subunit ribosomal RNA". The stretch from base 1 to 120 matches the Rfam family "5.8S ribosomal RNA", at positions 35 to 154 of the family's 154-position model. The record is from RNAcentral.